GACCGUUCUGGUGGCUCAAGUGGUUAGAGCAUCGGCCUGGGAUGCGAGAGUCGUGGGUUCGAAACCCUGCUGAGUCA
Potamilus streckersoni is the source of this 77-nucleotide non-coding RNA. The record is from the annotation of a GenBank genome assembly. Lineage: Eukaryota; Metazoa; Mollusca; Bivalvia; Unionida; Unionidae.